Molecule: ribosomal RNA, 492 nt
Filed under: uncultured bacterium
Lineage: Bacteria
Description: partial 16S ribosomal RNA
Rfam family: Bacterial small subunit ribosomal RNA
Source: RNAcentral
AGUGAACGCUGGCGGUAGGCCUAACACAUGCAAGUCGAACGGCAGCACAGUAAGAGCUUGCUCUUACGGGUGGCGAGUGGCGGACGGGUGAGGAAUACAUCGGAAUCUACUUUUUCGUGGGGGAUAACGUAGGGAAACUUACGCUAAUACCGCAUACGACCUACGGGUGAAAGCAGGGGAUCUUCGGACCUUGCGCGAUUGAAUGAGCCGAUGUCGGAUUAGCGAGUUGGCGGGGUAAAGGCCCACCAAGGCGACGAUCCGUAGCUGGUCUGAGAGGAUGAUCAGCCACACUGGAACUGGGACACGGUCCAAGCUCCUACGGGAGGCAGCAGUGGGGAAUUUUGGACAAUGGGCGCAAGCCUGAUCCAGCCAUACCGCGUGGGUGAAGAAGGCCUUCGGGUUGUAAAGCCCUUUUGUUGGGAAAGAAAAGCAGCAGGUUAAUACCCCGCUGUUCUGACGGUACCCAAAGAAUAAGCACCGGCUAACUUCGUG